Molecule: ribosomal RNA, 403 nt
Filed under: uncultured bacterium
Lineage: Bacteria
Description: partial 16S ribosomal RNA
Rfam family: Bacterial small subunit ribosomal RNA
Source: RNAcentral
AUUGAACGCUGGCGGCAGGCCUAACACAUGCAAGUCGAGCGAGCGGCGGACGGGUGAGUAAUGUAUGGGGACUGCCCGAUAGAGGGGGAUAACUACUGGAAACGGUGGCUAAUACCGCAUACUAUCGGAUAACCCAUAUGGGAUUAGCUAGUCGGUUGGGUAAAGGCUGACCUAGGCGACGAUCUCUAGCUGGUCUGAGAGGAUGAUCUGCCACACUGGGAAUGAGACACGGCCCAGACUCAAAGGGAGGCAGCAGUGGGGAAUAUUGCAAAAUAGGCGCAAGCCUGAGUCAGCCAUGCCGUGUGUAUGAAGAGGGCCUUACUGUUGUAAAAUACUGUCAGCGGGGAGGCGUUACCCGCAGAAGAAGACCCGGCUAACUCCGUGCCAGCAGCCGCGGUAAUUC